CUACGUGCCAGCAGCCGCGGUAAUACGGAGGGUGCGAGCGUUAAUCGGAAUAACUGGGCGUAAAGGGCACGCAGGCGGCUAUUUAAGUGAGGUGUGAAAUCCCCGGGCUUAACCUGGGAAUUGCAUUUCAGACUGGGUAGCUAGAGUACUUUAGGGAGGGGUAGAAUUCCACGUGUAGCGGUGAAAUGCGUAGAGAUGUGGAGGAAUACCGAAGGCGAAGGCAGCCCCUUGGGAAUGUACUGACGCUCAUGUGCGAAAGCGUGGGGAGCAAACAGGAUUAGAUACCCUGGUAGUCCACGCUGUAAACGCUGUCGAUUUGGGGAUUGGGCUUUAAGCUUGGUGCCCGUAGCUAACGUGAUAAAUCGACCGCCUGGGGAGUACGGCCGCAAGGUUAAAACUCAAAUGAAUUGACGGGGGCCCGCACAAGCGGUGGAGCAUGUGGUUUAAUUCGAUGCAACGCGAAGAACCUUACCUACUCUUGACAUCCAUGGAAUCUUGUAGAGAUACAGGAGUGC
This 515-nucleotide ribosomal RNA is filed under the name uncultured bacterium. RNAcentral's name for it is "bacterial SSU rRNA". It matches the Rfam family "Bacterial small subunit ribosomal RNA", at positions 501 to 1017 of the family's 1533-position model. The record is from RNAcentral.